UACAGAGGUGGCAAGCGUUGUUCGGAAUUACUGGGCGUAAAGGGCGCGUAGGCGGCCUUCUAAGUCAGACGUGAAAUCCCCCGGCUUAACCUGGGAACUGCGUCUGAUACUGGAGGGCUUGAGUGCGGGAGAGGGAUGUGGAAUUCCAGGUGUAGCGGUGAAAUGCGUAGAUAUCUGGAGGAACACCGGUGGCGAAGGCGGCAUCCUGGACCAACACUGACACUGAGGAGCGAAAGCCAGGGGAGCAAACGGG
This 253-nucleotide ribosomal RNA is filed under the name uncultured bacterium. RNAcentral describes it as "partial 16S ribosomal RNA". It matches the Rfam family "Bacterial small subunit ribosomal RNA", at positions 524 to 776 of the family's 1533-position model. The record is from RNAcentral.